RNAcentral lists this ribosomal RNA (271 nucleotides) under uncultured bacterium. RNAcentral's name for it is "partial 16S ribosomal RNA". It matches the Rfam family "Bacterial small subunit ribosomal RNA", at positions 524 to 794 of the family's 1533-position model. The record is from RNAcentral.
GACGAAGGUGGCUAGCGUUAUUCGGAUUCACUGGGCAUAAAGCGCGCGUAGGCGGCUCUUCAAGUCGGGGGUGAAAGCCUGCAGCUCAACUGCGGAACUGCCUUCGAUACUGUCGAGCUUGAGUGCAGGAGGGGUGAUCGGAACUCCAGGUGUAGCGGUGAAAUGCGUAGAUAUCUGGAGGAACACCGGAGGCGAAGGCGGAUCACUGGACUGCCACUGACGCUGAGGCGCGAAAGCUAGGGGAGCAAACAGGAUUAGAUACCCUUGUAGU